Coturnix japonica (Japanese quail) is the source of this 1054-nucleotide RNA transcript. RefSeq lists it as uncharacterized. NCBI's taxonomy places the organism in Eukaryota, Metazoa, Chordata, Aves, Galliformes, Phasianidae. The record is from RefSeq and is a predicted model, not a curated record.
CGCAAGGAGCUGGGAGAGCUGGGAGAGCUGACCUAACUGGCCAAAGGGAUGCUUGGUACCAGCUGCCAUCGGGUGAAACUAUAAAACCAAUAGGUCAGGAGGAGAUCUGCAGCGUUGGGCCUGUUUGGACAUCAUCUAUCUGUUGGGCAUGGCAUCGAACACCCAGGAGGAUCUGCAGCAGGAUGACUCUGUGGAAACGGGCAAUGCAGGCCAGCUACAGCAGGAAGAGCUAAGUCAGGCAACAGACAAGAGUUGUCCCAUCUGCCUGGACGCCAUCUGCUAUGCUGCCCGCAUGCCAGCCUGCUUCCACUUCUUCUGCUUUAGCUGUAUCUGGCAGUGGGCUGCCAUCAAUGCUGUGUGCCCAAUCUGCAGGCAGCCUUUCGAAUACAUCUUGUGUGCGAUGCAAGGAGACUGUGACUACCAGCAGUACAGGCCAGAGGCAAUCAGAGAGGGAGAGGGGGCAGACCAGAACCCUGCAGCAGUGCUACAACAUGCGCCUGCAUCACGUCCAUGAUUGGUCCAUGGCAGGGAGAACAGCUUGUACUACUGGUCUUCAGGGCUGCGCGGCCCUUCAGCAACUUUGGACCCAGCACCUUCAGCACCUUUGCACCCAACCUUCAGAGCAGCACCUUCAGAGCUGCCGAAUGCAAUGCAGCUCCCAGAAAUCCCCGUGGACAAGCAUCCCAGAAGCUAUAGCAUGCAGCUCCUGCAUUUCCUUGACUUAGCACAGGCAGCCACCAGAUCUGAAACCUUCGGAUAAGAAACUGGAUGAAUCACCACAAAGGAAAAACACACUCAAAACUCAAAACAGAUGGGACUAUACACUGAGCAUGUCCAAGAAGAAGUGAAAAACAAGAAAAUAUUUAAGGAAUUAGUUAAUGUAGAACAACCCAUUGUCUGGAGCGAGUUAGCAUUACUUACUUUGUGGAAUUAUGAGUGUGUGUAUUGGGCUGUAUAAAUAUAAUUACUUCAGAGCUACUAGUUGUGCAGUUGGGGAGGUGCAAGCUGCCAUUCACCUAUGUAUACACUUUAAAUAAACUACUUUGCAUCCUGA